Molecule: ribosomal RNA, 379 nt
Filed under: uncultured Microcystis sp.
Lineage: Bacteria; Bacillati; Cyanobacteriota; Cyanophyceae; Chroococcales; Microcystaceae
Description: bacterial SSU rRNA
Rfam family: Bacterial small subunit ribosomal RNA
Source: RNAcentral
AAAGGUGAAACCUAAUUGGCCUGGAGAAGAGCUUGCGUCUGAUUAGCUAGUUGGUGGGGUAAGAGCCUACCAAGGCGACGAUCAGUAGCUGGUCUGAGAGGAUGAGCAGCCACACUGGGACUGAGACACGGCCCAGACUCCUACGGGAGGCAGCAGUGGGGAAUUUUCCGCAAUGGGCGAAAGCCUGACGGAGCAACGCCGCGUGAGGGAGGAAGGUCUUUGGAUUGUAAACCUCUUUUCUCAAGGAAGAAGUUCUGACGGUACUUGAGGAAUCAGCCUCGGCUAACUCCGUGCCAGCAGCCGCGGUAAUACGGGGGAGGCAAGCGUUAUCCGGAAUUAUUGGGCGUAAAGCGUCCGCAGGUGGUCAGCCAAGUCUGCC